RNAcentral lists this ribosomal RNA (184 nucleotides) under uncultured bacterium. RNAcentral's name for it is "partial 16S rRNA". It matches the Rfam family "Bacterial small subunit ribosomal RNA", at positions 330 to 524 of the family's 1533-position model. The record is from RNAcentral.
GGCAGCCCAGGGGCAGCAUUGGGGAAUCUUGCACAAUGGGUGAAAGCCUGAGGCAGCAGACGCCGCGUGGGGGAUGAAGGUUUCGGAKUGUAAACCCCUUUCGACCGGGACGAAUACCUCGCAAGAGGGUGACGGURCCCGGAUAAGAUSCCGCSGCUAACYMCGRGCCAGCAGCCGCGGUAAU